Molecule: unclassified non-coding RNA, 345 nt
Filed under: soil metagenome
Description: partial contains 5.8S ribosomal RNA, internal transcribed spacer 2, and large subunit ribosomal RNA
Rfam family: 5.8S ribosomal RNA (bases 1-119)
Source: RNAcentral
GAUGAAGAACGCAGCGAAAUGCGAUACGUAAUGUGAAUUGCAAAUUCAGUGAAUCAUCGAGUCUUUGAACGCACAUUGCGCCCCCUGGUAUUCCGGGGGGCAUGCCUGUCCGAGCGUCAUUGCUGCCCUCAAGCACGGCUUGUGUGUUGGGCCCCGUCCUCCGAUCCCGGGGGACGGGCCCGAAAGGCAGCGGCGGCACCGCGUCCGGUCCUCGAGCGUAUGGGGCUUUGUCACCCGCUCUGUAGGCCCGGCCGGCGCUUGCCGAUCAACCCAAAUUUUUAUCCAGGUUGACCUCGGAUCAGGUAGGGAUACCCGCUGAACUUAAGCAAAUCAAUAAGCGGAGGA